RNAcentral lists this long non-coding RNA (310 nucleotides) under Panax ginseng (ginseng). Its description in RNAcentral is "long non-coding RNA (PGIN_LNC002736)". Lineage: Eukaryota; Viridiplantae; Streptophyta; Magnoliopsida; Apiales; Araliaceae. The record is from RNAcentral.
CACGCAUCUAAAUUUCAUAUAAUUUUUUGAGUUGACCUGUAAACAAUAAAUUUGAAACAAGAUAGUCGACGGAUUUAUUAUAAUUAUAUAUCCCCAUCAAAAUAUUGUUACAUAAAUGCAUGCUACAUAUUUUUCUUUUCCUUGAUUACAUUAUAUAUAUAACAAUCACAUGCACUUGUCUUUCAAACAACCACCCCCAUAUCUAGGUCGAAGUCGACAUUCAUCAAGGAGCACCAGUUGGCCGUCCAUGGACGCCGCAAAUCUGUGGCCCUCUCCUAUAAAUUUCUCUCACUAUAUCUAUAUAUGUAUC